UUGCACGCUGGCGGCAGGCCUCACCCAUGCAAGUCGCGCGGAUGAAGGGAGCUUGCUCCUGGAUUCAGCGGCGGACGGGUGAGUAAUGCCUAGGAAUCUGCCUGGUAGUGGGGGAUAACGUCCGGAAACGGGCGCUAAUACCGCAUACGUCCUGAGGGAGAAAGUGGGGGAUCUUCGGACCUCACGCUAUCAGAUGAGCCUAGGUCGGAUUAGCUAGUUGGUGGGGUAAAGGCCUACCAAGGCGACGAUCCGUAACUGGUCUGGGAGGAUGAUCAGUCACACUGGAACUGAGACACGGUCCAGACUCCUACGGGAGGCAGCAGUGGGGAAUAUUGGACAAUGGGCGAAAGCCUGAUCCAGCCAUGCCGCGUGUGUGAAGAAGGUCUUCGGAUUGUAAAGCACUUUAAGUUGGGAGGAAGGGCAGUAAGUUAAUACCUUGCUGUUUUGACGUUACCAACAGAAUAAGCACCGGCUAACUUCGUG
This 483-nucleotide ribosomal RNA is filed under the name uncultured bacterium. RNAcentral describes it as "partial 16S ribosomal RNA". It matches the Rfam family "Bacterial small subunit ribosomal RNA", at positions 30 to 507 of the family's 1533-position model. The record is from RNAcentral.